Long non-coding RNA from Populus nigra (black poplar), 555 nucleotides. RefSeq lists it as uncharacterized. NCBI's taxonomy places the organism in Eukaryota, Viridiplantae, Streptophyta, Magnoliopsida, Malpighiales, Salicaceae. The record is from RefSeq and is a predicted model, not a curated record. The transcript is spliced from 3 exons.
AAAAGGAAAGAGGGAUCUGAAUUUUGAGAGAGAACCGGCAAGAGAGAAAGGGAGAAAGAAGAAGAAGAAGAGAAAAGAGGGAAAUUAGAAGGGAAAUAGAAAGGAAUUGAACGGAAUAAGUUUAAAGAUAAUCCUGAUAUUCUACCGGCGGGACGUCAGUAGGAUUUUCUUCGAUAUCAGCUUUGAGUUUUGUUGCUUUCGAGUCAGGAAACCUCGCGGUGCGGCUGUGAGAGAGAACAUAGAAAGAAGAUUAUGCGAGGCUGUCGAACUCUUGAAAUUGAUAAAUAGCUAACUUGAGUAGUUAAGACACAGAUGCAACUUAUGCUUGUUGAACCCUUCAGAGGUAUGGAAAAUGGUAACAUUUUGGAGCAGUUCCAGGGCCAUGUUGUUAGGCUUUCUUUCGGUUGUCAUGCCUAAUCUGUGCGUCGUUGAGUUGAGAUUUGAUGAAGUAAAUAGUGUACUGAGAGGUGUGCAGAUUUGAGAUGAAGCUGUUUGUCUUCACUGUAAUGAUUUUUCUCCCCUUUUCUUGAGCAAGUUGUUCUGUUUGUUUCCUCC